AUGGGUUUGAAGAACAUACAGUGACCUGGGACAAAGUCUGUUGGGCCCACAGAGCAGACCACGGUUUGUGACAAUUCGGCCCAAGUCUGUUAGACUUCAGUCUUUCUUCCUGUGGUAAGAGACUCAGGGAAGGGACUAGAAGUCAUUUUCUUCUUUGGCUCUGGACUUUAGGCAGGUGAUAUGGUUUGGCUCUGGGCCCCCUUCCAAAUCUCAUCCUGAAUUGUACUUCCAGAUACAAUUCCCAGGUGUUGUGGGAGGGACCUGGUGGGAGAUAAUUGAAUCACGGGGGCAGUUUCCCCCAUACUGUUCUCGUGAUGUGAAUAAAUCUCACGAGAGCUGAUAGGUUUAUCAGGAGUUUCUGCUUUUGCACCUUCCUCAUUUUCUCUUGCAACCGCCAUGUAAGAAGUGCUUUUUGCCCUCACCGCGAUUCUGAGGCUUCCCCAGUCAUGUGGAACGGUAAGUCCAAUUAAAACCUCUUUUUCUUCCCAGUCUCCGGCAUGUCUUUAUCGGCAGCAUGAAAACAGACUUAACACAGCAGAUGCGGGAACUCCAGAGAGCAGCUUUCUCCUGUGCUUUGGGAGAGACAGAGGAUUGAGAGACAGGAGGAAGAAUCCUGCCACCUUGAGAGCAGGCCCAGCACAGUGCUGUUCUCAGAUGGAAGAAUAGAGAAUGGAGGAGAGUCCACCCAUCCAAGCUUGAGGACAUCAUAGAUCCUCUUACAGCCUGCCAGGCCCUGACCUAUGUGAGACCAGCCCAGGUAAGAAAUGCUGCCUUCUCCACCUUCAGCUGACUGCAGACAUAUGUAGGUUUGUGAACGAUAAUCAGUGCUUACUGUUUCAAAUCAUUGUUGCAGGACAGUUUUUAACACAGCAAAAGCUAAGAUACUCAUGCACACAGAAGAAGCAUGCAUCAGUGGAAUGUCCACUUCGGUGGGAAAAUAGAACCCAGUGCUAAAUUUCCCAUUAAGCAUGCCAAGUGCAUUCUCAGCAAUGGGCACACAGAAUCUGCCCACUGACCCUGGAGGGCUCUGUUGUUACUAGGGAUUCCAAGAUUCCUUGUCCAUCUGCAGGGACAUGGAAACUAAAGGAGACUGUGGCUUCAUGGCUGGAAAGCCCGCUCAUUUGGCAUAGCUGAAAUGGGCGGGUUCCAACUGCAGCCAGGCUUUUAGAAAUGGGUGGGGGAGAGUUGUUAUGACAACCAGCAUACCCUCAUUGUGCUACCUAACUCUCAUGGUGGGUGGUGGGGUUCAAUGACUGUUGUCCACAGCAGGCCGAGAGUAAAGGUGAGGCAAGGCAGGCCUGAUUGUGCCUAAAGUGUUGCCCCAGACUGACUGACUAGGUGAAUAUCCACCAUUAUAAAGGUAAUGCAAAGACUCUAAGAAGAGGAUAGGUAACUCACUUUCAGGUGUGCAAAGUAAGGAGCGACCACUUGUGGUGGUAGUGAAGAGAGUGGGCUGUGUGGUUGAGG
This 1467-nucleotide long non-coding RNA is filed under the name Callithrix jacchus (white-tufted-ear marmoset). Its description in RNAcentral is "lncRNA (ENSCJAG00000083466.1)". The record is from RNAcentral. Lineage: Eukaryota; Metazoa; Chordata; Mammalia; Primates; Cebidae.